Molecule: small nuclear RNA, 107 nt
Organism: Cynocephalus volans (Philippine flying lemur)
Lineage: Eukaryota; Metazoa; Chordata; Mammalia; Dermoptera; Cynocephalidae
Source: RefSeq, a predicted model, not a curated record
GUGCCCACUUCAACAGCACAUAUACUAAAAGUGAAACAAUACAGAGAACAUUAGCACGGCCCUUGUGCAACAAUGACAUGCAAAUUUGUGAAGCAUUACCAUAUUUU